UCGAGAAUCUUCGGCAAUGGCGCAAGCCUGACCGAGCGACGCCGCGUGUGGGAUGAAGGCCUUCGGGUUGUAAACCGCUGUCGGAGGGGAGGAAAUCACUAGGGGUUCACCCCUGGUGUUGACCUAUCCUCAGAGGAAGGACGGGCUAAGUUCGUGCCAGCAGCCGCGGUAAGACGAACCGUCCAAACGUUAUUCGGAAUCACUGGGCUUAAAGGGUGCGUAGGCGGCCCUGAAAGUUGGGUGUGAAAUCCCUCAGCUCAACCGAGGAACUGCGCCCAAAACUACAGGGCUUGAGGAAGACAGAGGUGAGCGGAACUUGCGGUGGAGCGGUGAAAUGCGUUGAUAUCGCAAGGAACACCAGUGGCGAAAGCGGCUCACUGGGUCUUUUCUGACGCUGAGGCACGAAAGCUAGGGGAGCGAAGAGGAUUAGAUACCCUCGUAGUCCUAGCCGUAAACGAUGAGCACUAGAUCGGAGAGUCCUCCAUAGCUUUCCGGCGUAGCGAAAGUGUU
Molecule: ribosomal RNA, 510 nt
Filed under: uncultured Planctomycetota bacterium
Lineage: Bacteria; Pseudomonadati; Planctomycetota
Description: bacterial SSU rRNA
Rfam family: Bacterial small subunit ribosomal RNA
Source: RNAcentral